UAGGGAAUCUUCGGCAAUGGACGAAAGUCUGACCGAGCAACGCCGCGUGAGUGAAGAAGGUUUUCGGAUCGUAAAACUCUGUUGUUAGAGAAGAACAAGGACGUUAGUAACUGAACGUCCCCUGACGGUAUCUAACCAGAAAGCCACGGCUAACUACGUGCCAGCAGCCGCGGUAAUACGUAGGUGGCAAGCGUUGUCCGGAUUUAUUGGGCGUAAAGCGAGCGCAGGCGGUUUCUUAAGUCUGAUGUGAAAGCCCCCGGCUCAACCGGGGAGGGUCAGUGGAAACUGGGAGACUUGAGUGCAGAAGAGGGGAGUGGAAUUCCAUGGGUAGCGGUGAAAUGCGUAGAUAUAUGGAGGAACACCAGUGGCGAAGGCGGGUGUCUGAUCUGAAACUGACGAUGAGGCUCGAAAGCGUGGGGAGCAAACAGG
This 429-nucleotide ribosomal RNA is filed under the name Gemmatimonadota bacterium. Its description in RNAcentral is "Gemmatimonadetes bacterium partial 16S ribosomal RNA". It matches the Rfam family "Bacterial small subunit ribosomal RNA", at positions 355 to 776 of the family's 1533-position model. Lineage: Bacteria; Pseudomonadati; Gemmatimonadota. The record is from RNAcentral.